UCCCGGCAGUCCAAGUCGCAGCCAACAUUAUUGGGUCUAAAACAUCCGUAGCUUGUUUAUUAAGUUCUUUGUGAAAUCCGGCAUCUUAAGUGUCGGGCGAGCAGAGAAUACUGGUAAGCUAGAGACCGGAAGAUGCAAGGAGUACAUUUAAGGUAGUGGUAAAAUACGUUAAUCUUAAAUGGACUAACAAUUGGCGAAGGCACCUUGCAAGUACGGAUCUGACAGUGAGGGAUGAAGGCCAGGGGCGCAAAAU
This 253-nucleotide ribosomal RNA is filed under the name uncultured archaeon. RNAcentral's name for it is "partial 16S ribosomal RNA". It matches the Rfam family "Archaeal small subunit ribosomal RNA", at positions 474 to 725 of the family's 1478-position model. The record is from RNAcentral.